This 119-nucleotide ribosomal RNA is filed under the name Pteropus alecto (black flying fox). The record is from RNAcentral. Lineage: Eukaryota; Metazoa; Chordata; Mammalia; Chiroptera; Pteropodidae.
GUCUACAGCCAUGUCACCCUGAACAAGCCCGAUCCCAUCUGAUCUCAGAAGCUAAGCAGGGUCGGGCCUGGUUAGUACUUGGAUGGGAGACCACCUAGGAAGACCAGGUGCUGUAGGCA